GGCGUAAUGCGCGCGUAGGCGGAUUGUUAAGUCAGGUGUGAAAUCCCGGGGUAAUGAUCCGAACUGCAUUUGAUACUGGCGAGCUAGAGUCCGGGAGAGGUGAGUGGAAUUCCCAGUGUAGAGGUGAAAUGCGUAGAUAUUCGGAAGAACACCAGUGGCGAAGGCGGCUCACUGGGCCGGUACUGACGCUGAGGCGCGAAAGCGUGGGGAGCAAACAGGAUUAGAUACCCUGGUAGUCCACGCCGUAAACGAUGAGUACUAGAUGUUGGGGGGCUUGCCCUUCUGUGGGGCAACUAAAACGUUAAAAAUCCCCCCUGGGGGGAGCGCGCGCAAGAUUAAAACUCU
This 345-nucleotide ribosomal RNA is filed under the name Methylosinus trichosporium. RNAcentral's name for it is "partial 16S ribosomal RNA". It matches the Rfam family "Bacterial small subunit ribosomal RNA", at positions 557 to 903 of the family's 1533-position model. Lineage: Bacteria; Pseudomonadati; Pseudomonadota; Alphaproteobacteria; Hyphomicrobiales; Methylocystaceae. The record is from RNAcentral.